Molecule: long non-coding RNA, 553 nt
Organism: Drosophila sulfurigaster albostrigata
Lineage: Eukaryota; Metazoa; Arthropoda; Insecta; Diptera; Drosophilidae
Exons: 2
Source: RefSeq, a predicted model, not a curated record
UAAUAUAGUUUCAAAUUCACAUACACAAGCUAACGAAAUUAUGAUAAUAUUGAUUAAUAGUAUUAAAUUUUAUCAGCAUUUCCUUUAUUUGUCUGCCAAUAUUUGUAAACAGACUUAAAAAGGAAAAAGUAAAAUUUGAUCAGUCUGUUCCGGUUGCAAUUCGAUAAGGAUUUAAUAAAUGGUAUACAGGAAGUAUGCAAGACGAAUUAAUGAAUAAACCCAAAAAUUGGGUUAACAAAAUCGUCUAUGUUUGUAAAAUUAUCAAUGAAAUUAAAAAUACUAGUAGACAUACAAAAAAAUAUCCGAUAAAAACAAUGAAAUCAAGAAUAUAUGUAUAUAGAAAAAAGUAAAACAAAAACUUUCGAUAAUGCGCGAAUGAAUAUUUUCCGAGAAUUGCUUCAAAUUCUGAGUUGACCUUUAGACUGUUGUCUGAUAAGCGAAAAGCUUAAUUGACAAUUUGGUUAAGCAAUGCGACGUCACAUGAGAAGCCACUGCGAUCCCCAAACGCCAACACCGCACAUGGCACAUGGCACCCAGUAGCCAAAGCCAAAGC